Non-coding RNA from Sesamum indicum (sesame), 1225 nucleotides. The record is from RefSeq and is a predicted model, not a curated record. Lineage: Eukaryota; Viridiplantae; Streptophyta; Magnoliopsida; Lamiales; Pedaliaceae.
UCCUCUUUUUUCUUCAUUUCCCUCAUUCUUGUUUCUCUCAAUUUCAAUUUUCAUGGCCUUUGAAAAAUACUCCACCGCCUUCGUCUUUAAUUUCUCACCACUAUAAAUCUUUUCCCCCUCUUCUGGUUUGAUAAGAACCAAACAAAAAAAGAACAAGAGAAACCAAAAUCUUCUUUGUGAAAUUCUUUGUGAGAAUGUGAAGAGCAAAAUACUUAGUGUGUUGUGAGUAAUUCUUAGUGAAGCCUAAGUGAUCUUUGUGGGUCUUAGUGUCUUUGUAUUUUGGUGGCUUUGUGGGUUUCUUGCAACCGUGAGGGUUGCUGAUCGGUGGUAGAGCUUGGGCAUUCGAUUGCCGGAUUUGGCUCCUGAGCCAUUGAUUCUAUUGCUUUCAUAUUGUAUUGUUGUAUAAGGGUUUUACAAACCCAUCAUUAUUUCUUGUAAUUGUUGAUUAUUUGGGCUCAUCACCUUGGAAUAAAUUCCCAACAGUAGUAUCAGAUCCUCAUCUCUGAUUCUUCGCUUCGGUGGUGGUACCGCAUAGGUGUUAUGGCAAUUAUGAAUGCCAAAUUCGGCCCUUGGGCCUUGCUCUUUGUUGGGCCUUGGUCCAAGGGGGCAAAUGUUGAAUUUUGGCCCACGGCCCAACUUACCAAAACCCCGCAGCCCACUUUGCUGCCGGCCCAUGACCCGUUGAUCCAACCCACAAACCUGACCCAUGAUCUUCUUAACCCUAAAACCCCCUUUUCUCCCUCAUUUGCAUCGAUCGGUUUCUCCCUCUUUAUUCUUCAUUUCCCUCAUUUUUAUUUCUCUCAAUUUCAAUUUCAAUGGUUUUUGGAAAAUACUCCACCGCCUUCGUCUUUAAUUUCUCACCACUAUAAAUAUUUUCCCUCUCUUCUGGUUUGAUAAGAACCGAACAAAAAAAGAACAAGAGAAACCAAAAUCUUCUUUGUGAAAUUCUUUGUGAGAACAUCUUCUUUGUGAAGAACAAAAUACUUAGUGUGUUGUGAGUAAUUCUUAGUGAAGCCUAAGUGAUCUUUGUGGGUCUUAGUGUCUUUGUGUCUUGGUGGCUUUGUGGGUUUCUUGCAAUCGUGAGAGUUGCCGAUCGGUGGUAGAGCUUGGGCAUUCGAUUGCCGGAUUUGGCUCCUAAGCCAUUUAUUCUAUUGCUUUCAUAUUUUAUUAUUGUAUCUGUUAUUUCAUUAUUGUAUAAGGGUUUUACAAACCCAUCAUUAUUUCU